UACGUAGGGGGCAAGCGUUGUCCGGAUUUAUUGGGCGUAAAGAGCGUGUAGGCGGCUUUACAGGUCCGUUGUGAAAACUCGAGGCUCAACCUCGAGACGCCGGUGGAAACCGUAAAGCUAGAGUCCGGAAGAGGAGAGUGGAAUUCCUGGUGUAGCGGUGAAAUGCGCAGAUAUCAGGAGGAACACCCGUGGCGAAAGCGGCUCUCUGGGACGGUACUGACGCUGAGACGCGAAAGCGUGGGGAGAAAACAGG
This 253-nucleotide ribosomal RNA is filed under the name uncultured bacterium. RNAcentral's name for it is "partial 16S ribosomal RNA". It matches the Rfam family "Bacterial small subunit ribosomal RNA", at positions 524 to 776 of the family's 1533-position model. The record is from RNAcentral.